CCUACGGGAGGCAGCAGUGAGGAAUAUUGGUCAAUGGACGAGAGUCUGAACCAGCCAAGUAGCGUGAAGGAUGACUGCCCUAUGGGUUGUAAACUUCUUUUAUAUGGGAAUAAAAUGUUCCACGUGUGGGAUUUUGUAUGUACCAUAUGAAUAAGCAUCGGCUAACUCCGUGCCAGCAGCCGCGGUAAUACGGAGGAUCCGAGCGUUAUCCGGAUUUAUUGGGUUUAAAGGGAGCGUAGGUGGAUUGUUAAGUCAGUUGUGAAAGUUUGCGGCUCAACCGUAAAAUUGCAGUUGAAACUGGCAGUCUUGAGUGCAGUAGAGGUGGGCAGAAUUCGUGGUGUAGCGGUGAAAUGCUUAGAUAUCACGAAGAACUCCGAUUGCGAAGGCAGUUCACUGGACUGCAACUGACACUGAGGCUCGAAAGUGUGGGUAUCAAACAGGAUUAGAUACCCGAGUAGUC
RNAcentral lists this ribosomal RNA (460 nucleotides) under uncultured bacterium. RNAcentral's name for it is "partial 16S ribosomal RNA". It matches the Rfam family "Bacterial small subunit ribosomal RNA", at positions 338 to 795 of the family's 1533-position model. The record is from RNAcentral.